This 1002-nucleotide ribosomal RNA is filed under the name Bacillus sp. J-04. RNAcentral describes it as "bacterial SSU rRNA". It matches the Rfam family "Bacterial small subunit ribosomal RNA", at positions 33 to 1016 of the family's 1533-position model. Lineage: Bacteria; Bacillati; Bacillota; Bacilli; Caryophanales; Bacillaceae. The record is from RNAcentral.
GCGAAGGUGCCUGGCUUAAAGGUGCGAGUCGAGCGAACUGAUUAAAAGCUUGCUUCUAUGACGUUAGCGGCGGACGGGUGAGUAACACGUGGGCAACCUGCCUGUAAGACUGGGAUAACUUCGGGAAACCGAAACUAAUACCGGAUAGGAUCUUCUCCUUCAUGGGAGAUGAUUGAAAGAUGGUUUCGGCUAUCACUUACAGAUGGGCCCGCGGUGCAUUAGCUAGUUGGUGAGGUAACGGCUCACCAAGGCAACGAUGCAUAGCCGACCUGAGAGGGUGAUCGGCCACACUGGGACUGAGACACGGCCCAGACUCCUACGGGAGGCAGCAGUAGGGAAUCUUCCGCAAUGGACGAAAGUCUGACGGAGCAACGCCGCGUGAGUGAUGAAGGCUUUCGGGUCGUAAAACUCUGUUGUUAGGGAAGAACAAGUACAAGAGUAACUGCUUGUACCUUGACGGUACCUAACCAGAAAGCCACGGCUAACUACGUGCCAGCAGCCGCGGUAAUACGUAGGUGGCAAGCGUUAUCCGGAAUUAUUGGGCGUAAAGCGCGCGCAGGCGGUUUCUUAAGUCUGAUGUGAAAGCCCACGGCUCAACCGUGGAGGGUCAUUGGAAACUGGGGAACUUGAGUGCAGAAGAGAAAAGCGGAAUUCCACGUGUAGCGGUGAAAUGCGUAGAGAUGUGGAGGAACACCAGUGGCGAAGGCGGCUUUUUGGUCUGUAACUGACGCUGAGGCGCGAAAGCGUGGGGAGCAAACAGGAUUAGAUACCCUGGUAGUCCACGCCGUAAACGAUGAGUGCUAAGUGUUAGAGGGUUUCCGCCCUUUAGUGCUGCAGCUAACGCAUUAAGCACUCCGCCUGGGGAGUACGGUCGCAAGACUGAAACUCAAAGGAAUUGACGGGGGCCCGCACAAGCGGUGGAGCAUGUGGUUUAUUUCGAAGCAACGCGAAGAUCUUUACCAGGUCUUGACAUCCUCUGACAACUCUAGAGAUAGAGCGUUU